RNAcentral lists this transfer RNA (66 nucleotides) under Syritta pipiens. Its description in RNAcentral is "tRNA-Gly". It matches the Rfam family "tRNA". Rfam says of the family: Transfer RNA (tRNA) molecules are approximately 80 nucleotides in length. Their secondary structure includes four short double-helical elements and three loops (D, anti-codon, and T loops). Further hydrogen bonds mediate the characteristic L-shaped molecular structure. tRNAs have two regions of fundamental functional importance: the anti-codon, which is responsible for specific mRNA codon recognition, and the 3' end, to which the tRNAs corresponding amino acid is attached (by aminoacyl-tRNA synthetases). tRNAs cope with the degeneracy of the genetic code in two manners: having more than one tRNA (with a specific anti-codon) for a particular amino acid; and 'wobble' base-pairing, i.e. permitting non-standard base-pairing at the 3rd anti-codon position. The record is from RNAcentral. Lineage: Eukaryota; Metazoa; Arthropoda; Insecta; Diptera; Syrphidae.
AUUUAUGUAGUAUAAAAGUAUAUAUGACUUCCAAUCAUAAGGUUUAUUAAAUUAAUAACAUAAAUA